AUUGAACGCUGGCUGCAGGCCUAACACAUGCAAGUCGAGCGGUAGCACAGAGAGCUUGCUCUCGGGUGACGAGCGGCGGACGGGUGAGUAAUGUCUGGGAAACUGCCUGAUGGAGGGGGAUAACUACUGGAAACGGUAGCUAAUACCGCAUAACGUCGCAAGACCAAAGUGGGGGACCUUCGGGCCUCAUGCCAUCAGAUGUGCCCAGAUGGGAUUAGCUAGUAGGUGGGGUAACGGCUCACCUAGGCGACGAUCCCUAGCUGGUCUGAGAGGAUGACCAGCCACACUGGAACUGAGACACGGUCCAGACUCCUACGGGAGGCAGCAGUGGGGAAUAUUGCACAAUGGGCGCAAGCCUGAUGCAGCCAUGCCGCGUGUGUGAAGAAGGCCUUCGGGUUGUAAAGCACUUUCAGCGGGGAGGAAGGCGGUGAGGUUAAUAACCUCAUCGAUUGACGUUACCCGCAGAAGAAGCACCGGCUAACUCCGUGCCAGCAGCCGCGGUAAUACGGAGGGUGCAAGCGUUAAUCGGAAUUACUGGGCGUAAAGCGCACGCAGGCGGUCUGUCAAGUCGGAUGUGAAAUCCCCGGGCUCAACCUGGGAACUGCAUUCGAAACUGGCAGGCUAGAGUCUUGUAGAGGGGGGUAGAAUUCCAGGUGUAGCGGUGAAAUGCGUAGAGAUCUGGAGGAAUACCGGUGGCGAAGGCGGCCCCCUGGACAAAGACUGACGCUCAGGUACGAAAGCGUGGGGAGCAAACAGGAUUAGAUACCCUGGUAGUCCACGCCGUAAACGAUGUCGAUUUGGAGGUUGUGCCCUUGAGGCGUGGCUUCCGGAGCUAGCGCGUUAAAUCGACCGCCUGGGGAGUACGGCCGCAAGGUUAAAACUCAAAUGAAUUGACGGGGGCCCGCACAAGCGGUGGAGCAUGUGGUUUAAUUCGAUGCAACGCGAAGAACCUUACCUGGUCUUGACAUCCACAGAACUUUCCAGAGAUGGACUGGUGCCUUCGGGAACUGUGAGACAGGUGCUGCAUGGCUGUCGUCAGCUCGUGUUGUGAAAUGUUGGGUUAAGUCCCGCAACGAGCGCAACCCUUAUCCUUUGUUACCAGCGGUCCGGCCGGGAACUCAAAGGAGACUGCCAGUGAUAAACUGGAGGAAGGUGGGGAUGACGUCAAGUCAUCAUGGCCCUUACGACCAGGGCUACACACGUGCUACAAUGGCAUAUACAAAGAGAAGCGACCUCGCGAGAGCAAGCGGACCUCAUAAAGUAUGUCGUAGUCCGGAUUGGAGUCUGCAACUCGACUCCAUGAAGUCGGAAUCGCUAGUAAUCGUAGAUCAGAAUGCUACGGUGAAUACGUUCCCGGGCCU
This 1361-nucleotide ribosomal RNA is filed under the name uncultured bacterium. RNAcentral describes it as "bacterial SSU rRNA". It matches the Rfam family "Bacterial small subunit ribosomal RNA", at positions 28 to 1381 of the family's 1533-position model. The record is from RNAcentral.